CUGCUUCUAGAGGCCUUGCAGGUGUGGUUGCUGUGUCACAUGUGCGUCAGUAGGUGGCAGAGGAGAGAGAGGCUGUGUCCACGCUCUGUUCUGACCCAUGAACUUCAUAGACUGACCUU
This 119-nucleotide small nucleolar RNA is filed under the name Mus pahari (shrew mouse). Its description in RNAcentral is "snoRNA (MGP_PahariEiJ_G0034302.1)". It matches the Rfam family "Small nucleolar RNA SNORA17". Rfam says of the family: snoRNA ACA 17 belongs to the H/ACA family of snoRNAs and is predicted to guide pseudouridylation of the 28S rRNA at positions U4659 and U4598. The record is from RNAcentral. Lineage: Eukaryota; Metazoa; Chordata; Mammalia; Rodentia; Muridae.